Molecule: ribosomal RNA, 489 nt
Filed under: uncultured bacterium Riz1083
Lineage: Bacteria
Description: bacterial SSU rRNA
Rfam family: Bacterial small subunit ribosomal RNA
Source: RNAcentral
AGAGUUUGAUCAUGGCUCAGGACGAACGCUGGCGGCGUGCCUAAUACAUGCAAGUCGAGCGACAUUUGAGAGCUUGCUCUCAAAUGUUAGCGGCGGACGGGUGAGUAACACGUGGGCAACCUGCCUAUAAGACUGGGAUAACUUCGGGAAACCGGAGCUAAUACCGGAUAAUUCACAUNUACUCAUGUAGAUGUGCUGAAAGACGGUUUACGCUGUCACUUAUAGAUGGGCCCGCGGCGCAUUAGCUAGUUGGUGAGGUAACGGCUCACCAAGGCCACGAUGCGUAGCCGACCUGAGAGGGUGAUCGGCCACACUGGGACUGAGACACGGCCCAGACUCCUACGGGAGGCAGCAGUAGGGAAUNUUCCGCAAUGGACGAAAGUCUGACGGAGCAACGCCGCGUGAGUGAUGAAGGUUUUCGGAUCGUAAAACUCUGUUGUUAGGGAAGAACAAGUACCAGAGUAACUGCUGGUACCUUGACGGUACCUA